GACGAACGCUGGCGGCGUGCCUAAUACAUGCAAGUCGAACGAGAGCGACCGGUGCUUGCACUGGUCAAUCUAGUGGCGAACGGGUGAGUAACACGUGGGUAACCUGCUCAUCAGAGGGGGAUAACAUCCGGAAACGGAUGCUAAAACCGCAUAGGUCUUCGAGCCGCAUGGCUUGAAGAGGAAAAGAGGCGCAAGCUUCUGCUGAUGGAUGGACCCGCGGUGCAUUAGCUAGUUGGUGAGGUAACGGCUCACCAAGGCCGUGAUGCAUAGCCGACCUGAGAGGGUGAUCGGCCACAUUGGGACUGAGACACGGCCCAAACUCCUACGGGAGGCAGCAGUAGGGAAUCUUCCGCAAUGGACGCAAGUCUGACGGAGCAACGCCGCGUGAGUGAAGAAGGUGUUCGGAUCGUAAAACUCUGUUGUUAGAGAAGAACAAGUGCUAGAGUAACUGUUAGCGCCUUGACGGUAGCUAAACAGAAAGCCACGGCUAACUACGUG
Molecule: ribosomal RNA, 498 nt
Filed under: uncultured bacterium
Lineage: Bacteria
Description: partial 16S ribosomal RNA
Rfam family: Bacterial small subunit ribosomal RNA
Source: RNAcentral